AAAGUCGUAACAAGGUUUCCGUAGGUGAACCUGCGGAAGGAUCAUUCAAAAUAUUCGGCAUUUUGCCGAUCGGGUUGACUUUAUGCCCCCGUACCUUCUGUGCACAGUAUAUUUCUUACUUAACUUAUAAUGACUGAAUAUUAUUUCUUUUGUUAUUUUGUUUUUUUUGAAGGCAUUUCAAUGCUUUUAGAAGAGAAAAUGACAUAUAUGAAUGUAUAUACAACUUUUAACAAUGGAUCUCUUGGCUCUC
This 250-nucleotide unclassified non-coding RNA is filed under the name Basidiomycota sp. Its description in RNAcentral is "partial contains small subunit ribosomal RNA, internal transcribed spacer 1, and 5.8S ribosomal RNA". The stretch from base 1 to 47 matches the Rfam family "Eukaryotic small subunit ribosomal RNA", at positions 1785 to 1831 of the family's 1831-position model. The record is from RNAcentral. Lineage: Eukaryota; Fungi; Basidiomycota.